RNAcentral lists this ribosomal RNA (170 nucleotides) under Pogonophryne scotti. RNAcentral describes it as "partial 12S rRNA". Lineage: Eukaryota; Metazoa; Chordata; Actinopteri; Perciformes; Artedidraconidae. The record is from RNAcentral.
CACCGCGGUUAUACGAGAGGCCCAAGUUGAUUAUUUACGGCGUAAAGAGUGGUUAGGAAAAAAUAAGAACUAAAGCAGAAUGUUUUCAAAGCUGUUAUACGCACCCAAAAACGAGAAGUCCAACCACGAAAGUGGCUUUACUAAACCCUGAACCCACGAAAGCUAGGGAA